CGGUGAUGUCUCCUUUCCGUUAUCCAUGGAGGCACUCGGUCAUGCUGUGGGUUGAAUGAACCUUAGACGCUAAGUCGUCGAUGGUGUGGUGUGAGGAUGGGUUAGAUGCCCA
This is a regulatory RNA element of 112 nucleotides. It matches the Rfam family "epsC RNA". The record is from Rfam.